RNAcentral lists this long non-coding RNA (688 nucleotides) under Microcebus murinus (gray mouse lemur). RNAcentral's name for it is "lncRNA (ENSMICG00000048287.1)". Lineage: Eukaryota; Metazoa; Chordata; Mammalia; Primates; Cheirogaleidae. The record is from RNAcentral.
UGGCUUUUGGCUGCAGAGAGAGUUGGGUGUUUUGUUGUCCCCUGUCACUGUGGGAGGCACCUCUAGCUCCGUGCUUAUGCAACCUGCCCACUUCCCAUGAAGCCGGAAGCUCCUGCCGGAGCCCGGAGCUGGGAUGGCGCCUGAGCUCGCAGGCCCUAGCGGCUUCCCUGGAGAAUCGGGCUGGGGAUCCUCUUACCCUUCCACAGCCCAGCACAGAAAUGACUUAGCAGUUCCGAGACUCCCUUGGAUUACAGAGGAAGGGUGUUAACUGCGGUUUCCCUUAUCUUUAAAUAACAACUUCCUGUAUAAGCCUGGCGUGAAGAUGGCGCCAGGCAAACCCCAGCUGGUGCCACCACAACCAGACAAGGCAGGGACAAGGGGGCUGGGCAGCGCCCCUGCGUGUGGAGCACGCCUUCCUGCAGGUGGCCCCGUUUUGUGGAUUUGUACAAGAAGAUGCUGGAUGUCAGAGAAGACUGGAGAGGAGAACCUGUAGAAGCUGCCACUGCCCAGCAAAUACAAAAUGCCAAAGCAAAUGAGUUGUCUGCUGUUCUGAACGCCUGCCAAGCCAAGGCUGAGAAGAGCAUCAGGUUGCACUGACCCGCCCCCACCAGAGGAACCUGCAGAGUAUAUAAAGCUGGGACUCCAGGUUUUCCAGCAGCUGGAAGCCCUCCCAACAUGGGCGGCCAAG